AUUCUGAAACGAGGAAAAUUGGUGAGGCAAAUUUUCAUGGGGUUUGCAGUUUGAAAAAAUUCUUCGUUGAGGAUAGAUCGCUAUUUUUUAGGAGUAAUUUUAAAUUCGAACGAGUUCAACGAUUUUUUCGUGAACAGAACAAAACAAAUCGAUCAAAAUGUUCAAGAGCCAUUUGGAAAUGAUUGGGCGCAACGAGAGCCCCAGCAAGAAGGCCAAGUUCUGGCAAUCCUACAUCAGAUCCCUGAAGGGCUCUGAGGAUAUCCGCGCCCACGAGGCGCCAAGGGCCUCUCGUCCCUACAGCUCCUACCUGGAGUCGCCCACAUACAGGAGCAUCUACGACGAGCCCUCCACCGCCAACGAGCGCGUCCAGUCCUCUGGCUACAGAUAUCUGCCAGUGAGCCGUGACACCUACGGCUACUCGCCACGUGCCAUCUACGAUCAUCACUACAGCCGAACAAUUCCAGCCAACUACGACGCAGAGAAGGCCUGGAAUGAUCAUCUGAAGCGCAUGCAGGAGAUCGAGCGCAGGUACCCAUCUCGCUAUGGUCUGUACCUGAAGGACAAGCCACUCACCCCCAACGCUCUGGUGCCCCUGGAGUACGAGCCAGAGGACAAGCUGCUGGCGGAGCUCAACAAGGCUCGUCGCUCGGCCUCGCCGUUCCGCCCCAGCCGCACCACCCGCGCUGGCAGCGAGCCGUACGUGCCCCCACCAACCUACUGGGGCCGCGAGGGCAGCGUGCCCCGCGGACCGUCGGUCUUCGACCGUGCCACCAGCCUGGCUCCGUUCACGCGUCCCAGCUUCCGCGCCAGCUCGCUGGAACCCCUGGAUGAACUCUUUGAAAGUAAGUUGCCCACGAUCGCCGAGGCUGAAUCGGCGGCAGCUGAUGUUGCCGCAGCUGCUGCUGCCCCCAGCCGAUCACUCGGUAUUUUCGAGCGCGCCGGCUCGCCAAGUCCCACUCCCGUCAAAGCCGGUCGCUGGGGACCCCGUCCCACUGAAGUCGCCUACGAUGCUGAGGGACUUCCGAUCUUCCACCCACGCAACCGCUUCAGGGAUCUGCUGAGCCCCAGCCCCAACUUGCCGGUCUCCUCGAUCGUGCGCGAUCCCUUCUGGUGGGACGUGGAUGACCUGGUGCCCUUCCGUGCCACCUCGGUGCCCCGUGCCUCGAGCCCCGUGGCCCGUGAUUCGUACUUGUCGCCGGUGAAGAACCGCUACUUGUGGUCCAAGCACCCAGCCAGACCCUUGACACCUGAGGAAGAGGAUUUUUUCUAAAAUAAAUCUAGAUACAAAAUCACAAAUCGUUUAGCUAUAAUAACAAAGCGACGCUAUAUCAAUCAUAUAGCAAUUCUGUAAUUUUUUUGUACUUAAUUUUACAUAAAUUACAUGUAACGAACUGUUAAAAAACAAAUUGCUCACCGCUCAAUUUUGUAAACGAACGAAACAACGAACUUUUAAACAACAAGAACAUCCUGAAGAACAACGACGAAUGCAUCACAAGGGGCCCCAAAACAACGAUAUAAAGCUUUGACUACCAUUUAUAACAUCUUGAGAAGUGGAGUCAACAGUAGCAAAAGGUUUAAAAACCUUUUUUUAGUCUCAAUAUCCUCAGACAACGUUUGAAUUUUUUCAAAACUGCAAAAAUCCUCCGAUGGAAAGCACCAUCCAAUCCUUGUCGGAGGUUUAACAAAAAAACAUUUGCCAAGAAGUGCGUAUUUCCCGUAGAUAAAAAAAAUAACAACAAUAUAAAACUCAAACUCUCUAUUAUUUUUAUUUCUGGAUUUCUAAGAUCAUGUCUUAAAUGUUAAGUGCAAGAAUAUGAAAAAAAAUCGAUUUACAUUUAUUAUAAUAAAAUAUGAAAACCAACUUAUGAGUGCCCAUCCGAACACCAGUGGGUAUCAUAAA
This is an RNA transcript of Drosophila bipectinata, 1900 nucleotides long. It is a transcript of the gene named myofilin, with no coding region annotated. Lineage: Eukaryota; Metazoa; Arthropoda; Insecta; Diptera; Drosophilidae. The record is from RefSeq and is a predicted model, not a curated record.